GGCGUCGACGGGUAGCCGGCCUGAGAGGGUGACCGGCCACACUGGGACUGAGACACGGCCCAGACUCCUACGGGAGGCAGCAGUGGGGAAUAUUGCACAAUGGGCGCAAGCCUGAUGCAGCAACGCCGCGUGAGGGAUGACGGCCUUCGGGUUGUAAACCUCUUUUAGCAGGGAAGAAGCGAAAGUGACGGUACCUGCAGAAAAAGCGCCGGCUAACUACGUGCCAGCAGCCGCGGUAAUACGUAGGGCGCAAGCGUUAUCCGGAAUUAUUGGGCGUAAAGAGCUCGUAGGCGGUUUGUCGCGUCUGCUGUGAAAUCCGGAGGCUCAACCUCCGGCCUGCAGUGGGUACGGGCAGACUAGAGUGCGGUAGGGGAGAUUGGAAUUCCUGGUGUAGCGGUGGAAUGCGCAGAUAUCAGGAGGAACACCGAUGGCGAAGGCAGAUCUCUGGGCCGUAACUGACGCUGAGGAGCGAAAGGGUGGGGAGCAAACAGGCUUAGAUACCCUGGUAGUCCACCCCGUAACGUUGGGAACUAGUUGUGGGGUCCAUUCCACGGAUUCCGUGACGCAGCUAACGCAUUAAGUUCCCCGCC
RNAcentral lists this ribosomal RNA (590 nucleotides) under Microbacterium sp. G-47. Its description in RNAcentral is "bacterial SSU rRNA". It matches the Rfam family "Bacterial small subunit ribosomal RNA", at positions 272 to 873 of the family's 1533-position model. The record is from RNAcentral. Lineage: Bacteria; Bacillati; Actinomycetota; Actinomycetes; Micrococcales; Microbacteriaceae.